Molecule: unclassified non-coding RNA, 404 nt
Filed under: soil metagenome
Description: partial contains 5.8S ribosomal RNA, internal transcribed spacer 2, and large subunit ribosomal RNA
Rfam family: 5.8S ribosomal RNA (bases 1-122)
Source: RNAcentral
GAUGAAGAACGCAGCGAAAUGCGAUACCUGGUGUGAAUUGCAGAAUCCCGUGAACCAUCGAGUUUUUGAACGCAAGUUGCGCCCGAAGCCGUUAGGCCGAGGGCACGCCUGCCUGGGUGUCACACAUCGUUGCCCCAAUGCCAAUCGCCUCACUUUGUAGGUAUUUGCUUGGGGUGAAUGAUGGCCUCCCGUGAGCUUUGUCUCACGGUUGGUUGAAAAUCGAGUGCAUGGUGUCGGGUGUACCAUGAUGGAUGGUGGUUGAGUGAUGAUGCUCGAGACCAAUCAUGGGUAACUCCACCAGAAUUGGGCUCGGUGACCCACAUGCGUCCCUUGGAUGCUCCCUAAGGAGACCUCAGGUCAGGCGGGGCUACCCGCUGAGUUUAAGCAUAUCAAUAAGCGGAGGA